This 399-nucleotide ribosomal RNA is filed under the name uncultured bacterium. Its description in RNAcentral is "partial 16S ribosomal RNA". It matches the Rfam family "Bacterial small subunit ribosomal RNA", at positions 338 to 734 of the family's 1533-position model. The record is from RNAcentral.
CCUACGGGGUGCAGCAGUGAGGAAUAUUGGUCAAUGGGCGCGAGCCUGAACCAGCCAAGUAGCGUGAAGGAUGACUGCCCUACGGGUUGUAAACUUCUUUUAUAAAGGAAUAAGGUGAGGCACUUGUGCCUUUUUGUAUGUACUUUAUGAGUAAGGAUCGGCUAACUCCGUGCCAGCAGCCGCGGUAAUACGGAGGAGCCGAGCGUUAUCCGGAUUUAUUGGGUUUAAAGUGAACGUAGAUGGGUUGUUAAGUCAGUUGUGAAAGUUUGCGGCUCAACCGUAAAACUGCAAUUGAUACUGGCAGCCUUGAGUAUAGUUGAGGUAGGCGGAAUUCGUGGUGUAGCGGUGAAAUGCUUAGAUAUCACGAAGAACUCCGAUUGCGAAGGCAGCUCACUAAAC